This 253-nucleotide ribosomal RNA is filed under the name uncultured bacterium. RNAcentral describes it as "partial 16S ribosomal RNA". It matches the Rfam family "Bacterial small subunit ribosomal RNA", at positions 524 to 776 of the family's 1533-position model. The record is from RNAcentral.
GACAGAGGGUGCAAACGUUGUUCGGAAUUACUGGGCGUAAAGCGCGUGUAGGCGGCCCGGAUAGUCGGGUGUGAAAGCCCUGGGCUCAACCCAGGAAGUGCACUCGAAACUUCCGAGCUGGAGUCCCGGAGAGGAAGGCGGAAUUCUCGGUGUAGAGGUGAAAUUCGUAGAGAUCGAGAGGAACACCUGUGGCGAAGGCGGCCUUCUGGACGGUGACUGACGCUGAGACGCGAAAGCGUGGGGAGCAAACAGG